Molecule: ribosomal RNA, 467 nt
Filed under: uncultured bacterium
Lineage: Bacteria
Description: partial 16S ribosomal RNA
Rfam family: Bacterial small subunit ribosomal RNA
Source: RNAcentral
ACGAACGCUGGCGGCGUGCUUAACCCAUGCAAGUCGAACGGAAAGGCCCUGCUUUUGUGGGGUGCUCGAGUGGCGAACGGGUGAGUAACACGUGAGUAACCUGCCCUUGACCUUGGGAUAACUUCAGGAAACUGGGGCUAAUACCGGAUAGGAGCUCCUGCUGCAUGGUGGGGGUUGGAAAGUUUCGGCGGUUGGGGAUGGACUCGCGGCUUAUCAGCUUGUUGGUGGGGUAGUGGCUUACCAAGGCUUUGACGGGUAGCCGGCCUGAGAGGGUGACCGGCCACAUUGGGACUGAGAUACGGCCCAGACUCCUACGGGAGGCAGCAGUGGGGAAUAUUGCACAAUGGGCGGAAGCCUGAUGCAGCAACGCCGCGUGCGGGAUGACGGCCUUCGGGUUGUAAACCGCUUUCGCCUGUGACGAAGCGUGAGUGACGGUAAUGGGUAAAGAAGCACCGGCUAACUACGUG